RNAcentral lists this ribosomal RNA (253 nucleotides) under uncultured bacterium. RNAcentral describes it as "partial 16S ribosomal RNA". It matches the Rfam family "Bacterial small subunit ribosomal RNA", at positions 524 to 776 of the family's 1533-position model. The record is from RNAcentral.
UACGUAGGUGGCAAGUGUUAUCCGGAUUUAUUGGGCGUAAAGGGAACGCAGGCGGUCUUUUAAGUCCGAUGUGAAAGCCUUCGGCUUAACCGGAGUAGUGCAUUGGAAACUGGGAGACUUGAGUGCAGAAGGGGAGAGUGGAACUCCAUGUGUAGCGGUGAAAUGCGUAGAUAUAUGGAAGAACACCAGUGGCGAAAGCGGCUCUCUGGUCUGUAACUGACGCUGAGGUUCGAAAGCGUGGGUAGCAAACAGG